This 6618-nucleotide unclassified non-coding RNA is filed under the name Leishmania donovani. RNAcentral's name for it is "gene:LdHU3.29.3400(CDS-product:hypothetical_prote in_conserved)". Lineage: Eukaryota; Euglenozoa; Kinetoplastea; Trypanosomatida; Trypanosomatidae. The record is from RNAcentral.
UGUGGAACAGCUUCGUACUGUUCUGUGUUUUUGUUUUCAGCUGUUAGCUGUAGUUCUCUUUUAUCUUCUUGGUGGUUUUUGUGUUGCUGGUGCCUGCGCGGUGCUAUUGAUUGAAACCUGCGCGACACACUCGCUCUUGCUUCUCCACCUUAUUCCACGCACCAUCUUCACAGCGGAGCAGAGGGGUUGCACCUGCGGCGUGUGUUGAGGCGCGUGCCUCGGGCUGCUCAUCUCUCUUAGCACCAGCGGAAAGUAGCGAGACACGCACGCAUAUAUAUUCGAACCUGUUGCGUCUUUGCCUGCAAAACAGACGCGACACGCCGGACUUCCACUAAAGUUGUAUCGCACACGCGCGCUACCGCGCCAUCGCUUCCGCGAAAUCACUAACGCUUAUUUAUCUUUUUGAUCUGUCUUCAAGCGGGCCACUCUCAGCUAGCCUACAGUGCCUGCGUGUGGAGCGAAGCCAACAACCGGCACGCACGACCACAGCCGAGCAUAAAACGAACGAACGAGCGACGCACCGGCGCUCAACGGUUAAGGCUUAACCAAGCUGAGAGGCACCUUGCAUAUCGCAAGUGUUCUCCCUGCGCACGUGCUUGUGCUUGGUUUGUAGUUUGUGCGCACUUUUGUGAGUCGAAGUAGGAACAUAUCUAACGGAGGGAGACGGCAGACUUCUUGGUCUUCUCACAUCCCCACCUUCAUUCCCCUUGCGUGGGCACCUUUGCCACACGUUUGUUUGCUCGGUGUGAAGGCUUUCUCUUGUGACUCUCUCUCUCCGACUCCUCUCCGUGCUGGCGUGCCCGCGAGGCAUCCCCAUAUUUAUGGUCUGUGCCCUUGUCUGUCUCUGGGUCUGUGUUUGUGUGAGUGUGUGUGUGUGCUGUCUCUCCCUCUCUUUCACAUCUCUCUUUUUCUCAGCGUUGGUGUUGAACGGAGAGGAAAAGAAAAACGGAAAUCGAAGGGCAGAAACGCACGAAGAAGGCGCUCAGUGCGGCCACCCUCUUGCUGUCCCUGUCUGAGCGCGUUGUAUGGGCGGCGCACCUUUUUUUUUGUUAUGAUUCUUAUCUUGAUGUCCGCGUUGUAUUGUUGGUAGUUGUGUCGUUGCCCUCUUUUAUUUUUCCUCUGUUUUAUUCCACGUAGUCGCUCUCCUCCUUCCUUGCUUGUUGUGAGUCGACCAGAUACUUGGGUUCUCUCUGUACUUCGGCUGUUUGUUAGGGGUUGGGUGAGGCGUCUGUCUUGGCACCUUUAUUCUUUCUUUUGUGGGGUUUUUGGUAGCUCAUUGGUGCCUGCUCUUUCUUUAGUGUUGGCGGUUUUCUUUUUCUUGUGUGUGCGCGCGCGUAUAAAUGCCUAAAAGGAAUCGGCCAGCCCUCCCCCCUCGUCUUCUCGUACACCAUCCUUCACCCCCUCACCCUCCUCCCUCCACACGCCCGCCCCUUGAGGGGCCGCCCGUUUUCAUUUGAGGUGACUACCGAAAAGGAUACAACCGAAAAUGCCGCGUCACUCGACAUCGCUGCACCAUUCAGCCAUCAUGACAGUGAUGGCUGUGGCACUGCUCUCGAUGGCCUCCACGGCGCGCGGGCAUGGCGCUGACUCAGCCACCCCUCUUCUCUGUGACAACGAUGCCACCCUCUACACCACCGGCCCCGACGGCACAGCUCUUGGCAUCCUCCUAUACGAGGGUGUCGUCCCGUGCGCCUCCAACGAGACCAUCUUCAUCACGAUCGCGAAAGAUCCUUCGCCUCCUAACGCCGUGGUGGCCUUGAGUGAAUGGAGCUUCCUGGUGAGCAUCAACAGCCGCGCGCCGGCAACUUUUACACUGUAUGCGAUGUGCGGCAACACGGUCAAGUGCCAGUCGACCCUCACCUACGCUCUGUCGCAGACGAUGGCGUCGUCUUCCUCCUCGGAUGUGUUACCGCUGUCAUCGCUGUCUUCCAGCUCAGCAGAUAGUGUACUGCCCAACACCACGUACCCACUGUGCUCGCACGCAUCCAAGGCGCGCAGCUACUCGGUUGGCGAGGUAUACCAUGACAACUUCCCGAUGGAUAUACAGGAUGGAAGCUGCGUCUACACGACACGCAUCACCGGUGAGUCGACUGUCGGCACCGUGGUGGUGGCCACUUCGGGACUUUCCUACACCUUCUCCAGCUCCAAAACCGCCGCAGUCGGCUACCACAUCUUGCUGGGCUACAUCGUGCGGUGCAAUGGCAUUACUGUGUGUGCUGACACGGUGGACGUGGUGCUAGAGCCUGCGUCGGUCACGACAGCUCCACCGACAUCGACCCCUGCCCCAACACCGGCGCCGCCAGAAACGCUGCCUUGGUGCUCGCACCGAACCUACGCCAACACCUACCGCAUUGGCGAGGUGUACUUCGGUGAUCUGUUGCUGGACGUGAAGGACACUGAGUGCAGGUACACGGCAACUAUCGAGGAUCCGUCUGUGGGCACGGCCGUCGUCGCGGAGCCGUCAGACCCCCUGGGCUAUGUCUACUCCACCAGUGACGACACGGUGCCACAGAACACGAGCAUCCCGUACACCAUCGCGUGCAACGGCGUAAGCAUUUGCCACGGUUUAGUAGUAAUUCACUUGACGUACGACCCCCCGGCCUGCCCAAACACCGUCGUCACCUACCUUUUGGAGCCUGGCGGCUCCGUGACGGGUACGAUGAGCAGCGGCACCGUGUGCAGCUCCGGUGCGACCCCAUCGCCCUCGAUCCUGUCUCCCGUGCCGGGGUUCUUCCUCGAUGCUAGUGGCGAUUUCGUCUUCUACGCUACCGACGACGAGGCGGAGGUGGUGGCAAUGGUGCUGAUGAAGUGCAAUGAGGAGGUUCUGUGCCAGAUUAAGGUCAUGUUUCUCGUUGCCUACCCAACCACGGCGCCCCCGACGACGUCGACGACAACGACCGCGGCGCCGAUCGUGAUGUGCCCCAAGCUUUUCCGGUACGAAGUGCCGACUGGGCAGUCGAUAAGCGACACCAUCGACCCCGUCACCACCUCCUCGUGCAACUUCACCACGUACCUGCUCGUGAACAGCAGCAGCGACAUCAGCGGCUCUCUGCUGCUGAACCUGCUGGGGGAGUUCUACUACAAGGCGCCAAAGUCGCAGGCGGUAGACUACGCCGCCGUCGACGUGUACUGCGCCAAGGCGUUCGUGUGCCGUACACAGCUGGUGUUCGUCGCCUACACCCCACUCCCCACCACCUCCACGACCAUGCCGCCGCUGCCGCCGUGCGCGAAUGUGUACUACUACCAGACAAGCCCCGGCGUGGCCAUCAACGCGUCUCUGAACAACAUGCCCGGACAAGAUAUGUGUGCGCACGGCCGCUACUUCACACUCAACACCUCCCCGCAGGCGGGGAGUGUCAAUGUGUCGCUGAUUGGAGACUUUGUUUACUUACCGCCGAAAUACGAGGGCCAGUUUUCCUUCAUGUUCACCAUGCACUGCAUGAACCAGCAAUACUGCACCGGCACGGCCUACCUCCUUGUGUCAAAUGAAUGGACACUACGCCCGGCGCCGACAGAUUCGCCAGUCAAACCGGACAGCAAUGCCAGCAUCACCAACGAGCAGAUCACCUGCCACGGCACGUGUAACGCAAGCGCCUGGAAGACGUACCCGAACAGGAAGGUGUGGGACAUCACACCUGGCGCCGGUUACGCGCGCAAGGAUGGCCGCACAGUCAACGACAUGAAAGUGACGUGGCGCAACAAAUCGCUCGUCGUCCUCGUCUACAGUCUGAUUGGCAACCUCGGCGUGCGCUUCCCCACCUUCGAGCCUAUUACAACGUCCCAGAGGGCGUACAUGGAGCCAAAGGACUUUGCCGGCAGCGUUGCCCCUGGCUCUCCUGGUUUUGAGAUGAGCUGCCUGGCUAACCAAGGUCGUACCGGCAUGGGCGAGGAUGUGUGGAAGUGGUUUAGUCUGACUCUCGACUCCGGCACCGGCGGCGUUGGCGCCUACUACAACUCCGGCCAGUCCUGGUACCAGAAGUUUGGCGGCAAGCACGUGAACUGCGACAUCUUCACCGACCCGUGCCGCUACGCGCCGCUGCUGACGCCGGCGAACUACACGAACACUUCCCUUGUCCGCUGGACAGUCGACGUGGACGACUGCGACGCCACGUGGACAGGCGUAUUCGCGCAGAGUUCGAUGGGGAAAAUGGUGAAAUAUGAUGGGUCUCCGGUGUGGUCGUUUGUCGGGAAACUCCAGCUGCAGGGCACGCUCUACUCCGAGGCCGUGCAGGCGAGGUCGUGGCUCGAGCCCGGCCAGUUCGACGCGCUCUACAGUAGCCACAACAUCCUCAUCAACCUGCAUCAAUUUGUCGCCGUGAGAAAGACGGGCAUGCAGGAUCCCCUCAUCUCCGUUGAUGCCGAGUUCUUCACGUACCUGGACGACGAGACGCAGGACCAGGCGUUCGGCAUCAACAUGCUCGUCUACCCCUUCGUGGACUCGUACAUGACCACCAGCUACGCCCGCGACCGCCACGUGAAAGGCUUCAAGUGGAUAUUACAGGACUGGAUAUCGCCCAGCGACGAGCACUGCCCGACGUGCACCGGCUCCAAGAUGAAGUGUGUGGCGCCGCUGCAGGGGGUCGACGUCUCCUACACGGGCCCUAGCUUCCCGGAGGGGGACUGCGCCGAUGGCGAGGGCCGUGUGCACCUAUUCAAGGGGCCUGCCACGAUGCCGAGCGACUGCCCAGAUAGCAAGAUGCACGUCUUCAACCAGACCGGGUUCUCCCCGACGCGGAACUGCAAUACGGCGUACCAGAACGUGACGCUGCGUGGCAUCGUGCCGGGCAGCAGCGGCCUCAACGAGACCCUCUCGCGCGCCUUCCAUUACGAGGGCACGGUGCAGCUUGUGCUGCUCAUGGACGAUCACAGUUACAAGCGACUGGACCUGCAUCUGUCCAUGUACGUCUCCCGUCUCUCAAAGGAUUCUCCGCGCAUGAGGGGUGGGCUCAGCACGUGCCGCAGCGGCAGCUACUGGCCGGUGCUCGACCCGCUCGGCUCGUCGCUGGCGUCGAGCCCGUUCCCCCUGAGCGUCGCAGCGGUGACGCCGUUGUGCAUUGACGACCUCAGCUCCUCGUACGGUCCGAACGAUUGGGCCCUCUUUGCCGUCAACAUGCCCGGCGUUAAGCCGAGCGAGGUGACGGUGCGCAGCGUGUACGUGCAGCACAACAACUCGCGUAUCUAUCUCAUCUACAAGGACCCGAGAAGUGGUGCGGCUUCGAUCCCGAACAGCGACGCUGACGGUGACUGGUGGCAGUACAAGUACCCCUUCCUCGCCUUCCGUGACUUGGAGGCCCACGUGAAGAACAACAGCAUCACCUACAGCACGCUUAUGGAGUCGUCCGCGGCGGCGGCGGAUGUAGUGUACGCCUUUACCUUCAUCCCUGGCGCGCUAGGGGUGGACACAGACAUCGAGGUGGUGGUCGAGGCCCUCAUCCAGCCUAGUGCGGCGGCGGAAAGCACGACGGAGUUCCGCCGUGUGUUGCACAUCGACCCGCUGCUGACGCAGCUCAGCCGCCAGGGCCCGCCGCCACCAUAUUCCUCGUCGAAGCGUGAGCAGAACAGGACGAACUUUUACGCCAUGGGCGCCACCGCCGGUGUGGCUGUCGCCCUGGUGGUGACUGUCAUCUUCUUCAUGUUAGCGGACAACAGCCGCCCUUUGCCCAAGUGGGUGCCGCGCGGCAAACUCAUCAAGGAGACGGUGCUGUCGGUGCUGCCGGCUGGCUUGCGUGGGAAGAAAAAGCCGAAGCGCACGGUUCACAAGGAUAUGUACGAUGCCAUGAGCUCCGGCGCGUACUGAACGUGAGUGAAAGAACGAAACGUAAGUACUCACGUGCGUAUGACGUUGGAAGCUGCGUUAGGUAGCUGAUCGCGGCGAAUAGGCAGUGUGCGCGUAACCCCGUGCAGCUGCUAGCGGAGCGGGCUCAUCGAUCGCGGUCGCGGCGACUCGUGUAGCAACGAUGCAUCGGUGGGAAUGAGGUGGGGGAGAGAAAGUGCAGCAACAGAGCUGAGAAAAGGCGUGCGGCAUCUGAUCGCCUCCCUGUGAAUCGGCUUCUUUGAUAUGUGAUGGUGUGUAGUGCGUCGAGAGUGAGUGACGUGUGUGUGUGUGUGUGUGCUUGUUUUUGUGAAGGCUGCGAGUGGAUAUACUCGCGCGUUGCGAGCGCUGCAGCAGGUCCAUCGCGGAGAUGGCUCACCUUCUCUCCCUGUGUGCUUGUGUGUAUCUCACAGCCCUCUCUCUCAUUGCCUUACGUCCCCCUCCCCCGUACCUUUGGAAGAGGGGGGCGUUUGGCAUUUUGUUAGCGGCCGUUGCCUCCAUUGUGUAUGUGCGCGUGUGCUUGUGUGUAUCUCUCGAGGAUCGAGUCGGCAACAACGCAUGCCUUCGUUAGACGAGGCGUACUUUGCAUGCCCAUCUCCCUCUCUCUGUUUUUUUUUUUAGGUCGUUGUGUGCGCGUGUGUGAGCACUGUAUGCGUAUCACCGAUCUAUCAAUGAAGCGACGAAAGCAGUAGCAAGAAGGCGCACGCGAGCCGACAACAAAAGCGAUGGAUAGCGAAGCGCAGAGCGAAAGAGGGUGAGAGAGAGAGCAAAAUACCAGAGUAAGAUGGCACCGCACUAAUCACAGC